AGAGCCUGAAUCAGUGUGUGUGUUAGUGGAAGCGUCUGGAAAGGCGCGCGAUACAGGGUGACAGCCCCGUACACAAAAAUGCACAUGCUGUGAGCUCGAUGAGUAGGGCGGGACACGUGGUAUCCUGUCUGAAUAUGGGGGGACCAUCCUCCAAGGCUAAAUACUCCUGACUGACCGAUAGUGAACCAGUACCGUGAGGGAAAGGCGAAAAGAACCCCGGCGAGGGGAGUGAAAAAGAACCUGAAACCGUGUACGUACAAGCAGUGGGAGCACGCUUCGGCGUGUGACUGCGUACCUUUUGUAUAAUGGGUCAGCGACUUAUAUUCUGUAGCAAGGUUAACCGAAUAGGGGAGCCGAAGGGAAACCGAGUCUUAACUGGGCGUUAAGUUGCAGGGUAUAGACCCGAAACCCGGUGAUCUAGCCAUGGGCAGGUUGAAGGUUGGGUAACACUAACUGGAGGACCGAACCGACUAAUGUUGAAAAAUUAGCGGAUGACUUGUGGCUGGGGGUGAAAGGCCAAUCAAACCGGGAGAUAGCUGGUUCUCCCCGAAAGCUAUUUAGGUAGCGCCUCGUGAAUUCAUCUCCGGGGGUAGAGCACUGUUUCGGCAAGGGGGUCAUCCCGACUUACCAACCCGAUGCAAACUGCGAAUACCGGAGAAUGUUAUCACGGGAGACACACGGCGGGUGCUAACGUCCGUCGUGAAGAGGGAAACAACCCAGACCGCCAGCUAAGGUCCCAAAGUCAUGGUUAAGUGGGAAACGAUGUGGGAAGGCCCAGACAGCCAGGAUGUUGGCUUAGAAGCAGCCAUCAUUUAAAGAAAGCGUAAUAGCUCACUGGUCGAGUCGGCCUGCGCGGAAGAUGUAACGGGGCUAAACCAUGCACCGAAGCUGCGGCAGCGACGCUGAUGCGUUGUUGGGUAGGGGAGCGUUCUGUAAGCCUGUGAAGGUGUGCUGUGAGGCAUGCUGGAGGUAUCAGAAGUGCGAAUGCUGACAUAAGUAACGAUAAAGCGGGUGAAAAGCCCGCUCGCCGGAAGACCAAGGGUUCCUGUCCAACGUUAAUCGGGGCAGGGUGAGUCGACCCCUAAGGCGAGGCCGAAAGGCGUAGUCGAUGGGAAACAGGUUAAUAUUCCUGUACUUGGUGUUACUGCGAAGGGGGGACGGAGAAGGCUAUGUUGGCCGGGCGACGGUUGUCCCGGUUUAAGCGUGUAGGCUGGUUUUCCAGGCAAAUCCGGAAAAUCAAGGCUGAGGCGUGAUGACGAGGCACUACGGUGCUGAAGCAACAAAUGCCCUGCUUCCAGGAAAAGCCUCUAAGCAUCAGGUAACAUCAAAUCGUACCCCAAACCGACACAGGUGGUCAGGUAGAGAAUACCAAGGCGCUUGAGAGAACUCGGGUGAAGGAACUAGGCAAAAUGGUGCCGUAACUUCGGGAGAAGGCACGC
Molecule: ribosomal RNA, 1439 nt
Filed under: Escherichia coli
Lineage: Bacteria; Pseudomonadati; Pseudomonadota; Gammaproteobacteria; Enterobacterales; Enterobacteriaceae
Description: partial 23S ribosomal RNA
Rfam family: Bacterial large subunit ribosomal RNA
Source: RNAcentral